RNAcentral lists this transfer RNA (89 nucleotides) under Streptomyces purpurascens. Its description in RNAcentral is "tRNA-Val". Lineage: Bacteria; Bacillati; Actinomycetota; Actinomycetes; Kitasatosporales; Streptomycetaceae. The record is from RNAcentral. RNAcentral also lists the same sequence under 6 other names.
GCGAGGACGGCCAGGUUGGCGGCGACGCCCCACAGGCGCCGCUGGAGAUGGGGUGGGUGACGGUAGGCGAGCAUGCCGCCCACCUCGUU